UAUUUUAAGAGUUUGAUCCUGGCUCAGGAUGAACGCUUGCGGUGUGCCUAAGAUAUGCAAGUCGAACGUCUCUCCGACGCAAGUCGGAGGGUAGUGGCAGACGGCUGAGUAACACGUAGGAAUCUACCCCUAGGUGAGGUAUAGCCCCGAGAAAUCGGGGGUAAUCCCUCAUAAUAUCUCCGGAUUAAAGAGCGUAACUGCUCGCCAAGGGAGGAGCCUGCGGCCUAUCAGGUAGUUGGUGUGAUAAUAGCGCACCAAGCCUAUGACGGGUAGCUGACCUCAUGAGGGUGAUCAGCCAGAGGAGUACUGAGAUACGGACUCCACAUCUACGGAUGGCAGCAAUCAGGAAUCGUUGGCAAUGGGCGAAAGCCUGACCACGCGACACCGCGUGCGGGAUGAAGCCUCUCGGGGCGUAAACCGCUGUGGCGAGGGAAGAAGAUCUAAUUUAUUAGAUUUGACGGUACCUCGCUAGAAAGUAGCCGCUAACUUCGUGCCAGAAGCGUCGGUGAUACGGGGGCUACAAGCGUUAUCCGGUGUGACUGGGCGUAAAGGGUCUGUAGGCGGUUUUCCAAGUUACUUUUUAAAGACCUCGACUCACUCGAGGGAAGGGAAGUAAGACUGUUGAACUGGAGUUUUCUUUAGGGUAAUCGGAAUUGAUAGAGGAGUAGUGAAAUGCGUUGAUACUAUCAAGAACACCAAUGGCGAAGGCAGAUUACUGGAAGAAAACUGACGCUGAAAGACGAAAGCUAGGGGAGCGAACCGGAUUAGAGACCCGGGUAGUCCUAGCCCUAAACGAUGCUCGCUAGUUGCAUUUCUUUUAGUUUAUCUUUAAGGGGUGUGGCGAAGCUAACGCGUUAAGCGAGCCGCCUGGGGAGUACGGCCGCAAGGCUGAAACUCAAAGGAAUUGGCGGGGAGAUACACAACCAGUGGAACAUGUGGUUUAAUUCGAGACAAACCGAAGCACCUCACCAGGGCUUGACAUGCAACUGCAAGCUUAGGGAAACCUAGGCCGCCUUCGAGGGCGUUGCACAGCUGUUGCAUGGCUGUCGUCAGUUCGUUCCGUGAGGAGUGCCCUUAAGUGGGACAACGAACGUAACCUUCGCCCUAUGUUAAAUCUGUCAUAGGGGACUGCCCUCGCUAUGCGGGGGAGGAAGGAGAAGCAGACGUCAAGUCAGCAUGACGCUUAUGCUCUGGGCGACACACAUGUUACAAUGAGGCCGACAAAGAGUUGCGAAACGGCGACGUGAAGCUAAUCUCAUAAACGGUCUCUCAGUGGGGAUUGAAGUCUGCAACUCGACUUCAUGAACGCGGAAUUGGUAGUAAUCGCAGAUCAGCCAAGCUGCGGUGAAUACGUUCUUAUCUCUUGCACACACUGCCCGUCAAGCCAACAAAGUCGGUAGUGCCUGAAGGCUCUGUUAAAGGGGACGAAGGUAAGAUCGGCGAUGGGGACUAAGUCGUAACAAGGUACCCGUUCUGGAAGGAGCGGGUGAAUCACCUCCUUU
Non-coding RNA from Microgenomates bacterium OLB23, 1502 nucleotides. The record is from Rfam. Lineage: Bacteria; Candidatus Microgenomatota.